CUUCCAUUUUCCAUUAUUAUGUGGACUACCGGAGCGACAGCGCAGUCCAAGACCUUGCAGGAUGUCUCGCCGCAAGCAAGCGAAACCGAGAUCCCUCAAAGACCCCAACUGUAAACUUGAAGACAAGACUGAAGAUGGAGAGGCAAUAGACUGUAAGAAGAGGCCGGAAGACGGAGAGGAGUUGGAAGACGAAGCUGUGCACAGCUGUGACAGCUGCCUCCAGGUGUUCGAAUCACUGAGCGAUAUCACAGAACACAAGAUUAAUCAAUGUCAGCUGACAGAUGGAGUGGAUGUUGAAGAUGAUCCCACUUGCUCUUGGCCAGCUUCCUCACCUUCCAGCAAGGACCAGACUUCCCCUAGCCAUGGAGAAGGUUGUGAUUUUGGAGAGGAAGAAGGUGGCCCUGGACUCCCAUAUCCAUGCCAAUUCUGUGACAAGUCGUUUAGCCGCCUCAGCUACCUAAAGCACCAUGAGCAGAGUCACAGUGACAAACUGCCUUUCAAAUGCACCUAUUGCAGUAGGCUGUUCAAACACAAGCGGAGCCGAGAUCGCCAUAUCAAACUCCACACAGGGGAUAAGAAGUACCACUGCAGUGAAUGUGAUGCUGCGUUCUCCAGAAGUGAUCACUUGAAGAUCCACUUAAAGACUCACACGUCCAACAAGCCAUAUAAAUGUGCCAUUUGUCGCCGUGGCUUCCUGUCCUCUAGUUCCUUACAUGGACACAUGCAGGUUCAUGAGAGGAACAAGGACGGUUCCCAGUCUGGUUCCAGGAUGGAGGACUGGAAGAUGAAGGACACUCAGAAGUGCAGUCAGUGCGAGGAAGGCUUUGACUUCCCGGAAGACCUCCAGAAGCAUAUCGCCGAAUGCCACCCUGAAUGUUCCCCAAACGAGGACCGAGCGGCCCUCCAGUGUGUCUACUGCCAUGAGCUCUUUGUGGAGGAGACCUCCCUCAUGAACCACAUGGAGCAGAUGCACGGCGGGGAGAAGAAGAACUCUUGCAGCAUUUGUUCUGAGAGUUUCCACACGGUCGAGGAACUGUACAGCCACAUGGAUAGUCACCAGCAACCCGAAUCCUGCAAUCACAGCAACAGCCCUUCCCUGGUCACGGUGGGCUACACCUCUGUGUCCAGCACGACUCCAGAUUCCAACCUCUCAGUGGACAGCUCAACCAUGGUGGAAGCUGCCCCGCCAAUCCCAAAGAGUAGAGGGAGGAAGCGGGCUGCCCAGCAGACCCCUGACAUGACCGUGCCCUCAAGUAAACAAGCAAAAGUUACCUACAGCUGUAUUUACUGCAACAAGCAGUUAUUUUCAAGUCUGGCAGUUCUGCAGAUUCACCUGAAAACUAUGCAUUUAGAUAAGCCUGAACAGGCCCAUAUUUGUCAGUAUUGCCUGGAGGUAUUGCCCUCACUCUAUAACCUAAAUGAACAUCUUAAGCAAGUGCAUGAAGCUCAGGACCCAGGUCUGAUUGUUUCUGCCAUGCCCGCCAUAGUCUACCAGUGUAACUUCUGCUCCGAAGUUGUCAAUGACCUCAACACUCUUCAGGAACACAUCCGAUGUUCUCAUGGAUUUGCGAACCCUGCAGCUAAGGAUAGCAACGCAUUCUUUUGCCCCCAUUGCUACAUGGGGUUUCUUACUGACUCUUCCCUCGAAGAGCAUAUAAGACAGGUCCAUUGUGACCUCAGUGGCUCCCGAUUUGGGUCUCCAGUGCUUGGGACUCCAAAAGAACCAGUAGUAGAAGUCUAUUCUUGUUCCUAUUGUACGAAUUCUCCAAUAUUCAAUAGUGUUCUUAAACUGAACAAGCACAUCAAAGAGAAUCAUAAAAACAUUCCUUUGGCCCUGAAUUAUAUUCACAAUGGGAAAAAAUCCAGGGCCUUGAGCCCCCUAUCUCCUGUGGCCAUAGAGCAGACAUCUCUUAAGAUGAUGCAGGCAGUGGGAGGUGCUCCUGCGCGUCCAGCCGGAGAAUAUAUCUGUAAUCAGUGUGGUGCUAAGUACACGUCCCUAGACAGCUUUCAGACUCACCUAAAAACUCACCUUGACACUGUGCUUCCAAAAUUGACCUGUCCUCAGUGCAACAAGGAAUUCCCCAACCAAGAAUCCUUGCUGAAGCACGUUACCAUUCAUUUUAUGAUCACCUCAACGUAUUACAUCUGUGAGAGUUGUGAUAAGCAGUUCACGUCGGUGGAUGACCUUCAGAAACACCUGCUGGACAUGCACACCUUUGUCUUCUUCCGCUGCACCCUCUGCCAGGAAGUUUUUGACUCGAAAGUCUCCAUUCAACUUCACUUGGCUGUAAAACACAGUAACGAAAAGAAAGUCUACAGGUGCACGUCUUGCAACUGGGACUUCCGCAAUGAGACCGACUUGCAGCUGCAUGUGAAACAUAACCACCUGGAAAAUCAAGGGAAAGUGCACAAGUGCAUUUUCUGUGGUGAAUCCUUUGGUACUGAGGUGGAGCUUCAGUGCCACAUCACCACUCACAGUAAGAAGUAUAACUGUAAGUUCUGCAGCAAAGCCUUCCACGCCAUCAUUUUGCUGGAGAAACACUUGCGGGAGAAGCACUGUGUGUUUGAAACCAAGACUCCCAACUGUGGAGCAAAUGGGGCUUCUGAGCAAGUGCAGAAGGAGGAAGUGGAGCUGCAGACCUUGCUGACCAACAGUCAAGAGUCCCACAAUAGUCAUGACGGGAGCGAAGAAGACGUGGACACCUCGGAGCCCAUGUAUGGGUGUGACAUUUGUGGGGCAGCCUACACGAUGGAAACUCUGCUGCAGAACCACCAGCUCCGAGACCACAACAUCAGACCUGGAGAAAGUGCCAUCGUGAAGAAGAAAGCCGAGCUUAUUAAAGGGAAUUACAAGUGUAACGUGUGCUCUCGAACCUUCUUCUCUGAAAAUGGCCUCCGAGAACAUAUGCAGACCCACCUAGGCCCUGUCAAACACUACAUGUGCCCUAUUUGUGGAGAGCGGUUUCCCUCCCUCUUAACUCUUACCGAACACAAAGUCACACACAGUAAGAGUCUCGAUACCGGAAACUGCCGGAUUUGCAAGAUGCCUCUCCAGAGUGAAGAAGAGUUUUUAGAGCAUUGCCAAAUGCACCCUGACUUGAGGAAUUCCCUGACAGGAUUUCGCUGCGUGGUCUGCAUGCAGACAGUGACCUCCACCUUAGAACUCAAAAUCCAUGGGACAUUCCACAUGCAAAAGACAGGGAAUGGGUCUGCGGUUCAGACCACAGGGCGUGGCCAGCACGUCCAAAAACUGUACAAGUGCGCAUCUUGCCUCAAAGAAUUCCGUUCCAAGCAAGAUCUGGUGAAACUUGACAUCAACGGCCUGCCAUAUGGUCUGUGUGCUGGCUGUGUGAAUCUCAGUAAGAGCGGCAGCCCAGGCAUCAACAUCCCUCCCGGCACGAGUAGACCAGGCUUGGGCCAGAAUGAGAGUCUGAGUGCCAUUGAGGGAAAAAGCAAAGCAGGGGGACUGAAGACUCGCUGCUCUAGCUGCAAUGUUAAGUUUGAGUCUGAAAGUGAACUCCAGAACCACAUCCAAACGGUCCACCGAGAGCUCGUGCCAGAUAGCAAUAGCACACAGUUGAAAACUCCACAAGUAUCACCAAUGCCCAGAAUCAGUCCCUCCCAGUCGGAUGAGGAUAUUGUCUUCUCUAUGACUGAAGAGACCAGCGCUCAUGCCAACACCACUGAGAUCUGGAAUCUCAGCAUAGCUUCACCGCGAGUUGAAAUCCCCAGCUAUGACUUGUGUGCAUGGCAGAGAAAUAAUGACAUAAAAAAGAAGACCUAUCAGUGCAUCAAGUGUCAGAUGGUUUUCUACAAUGAAUGGGAUAUUCAGGUUCAUGUUGCAAAUCACAUGAUUGAUGAAGGACUGAACCACGAAUGCAAACUCUGCAGCCAGACCUUUGACUCCCCUGCCAAACUCCAAUGCCACCUGAUAGAGCACAGCUUCGAAGGGAUGGGAGGCACCUUCAAGUGUCCUGUCUGCUUUACAGUGUUUGUUCAAGCAAACAAGUUGCAGCAGCAUAUUUUCUCUGCCCAUGGACAAGAAGACAAGAUCUAUGACUGCACACAAUGUCCACAGAAGUUUUUCUUCCAAACAGAGCUGCAGAAGAUCUUCAGUGAAGUCUAGAGACUGACACUCCGCAUCUCUUCUCUCCAACCCCGAAAGCCAAUCCAAUAACCUGUGCAGCUCCGACCUCCAUCCUUCCUUCAGAAGAUGAAAUUAGGCCAUUUGUAUUUUCAGUGACUCAGAACACAGUGUGGGGAUGGGGAACAGACACAUCCCAGGAUCCUCAAAGGUGACGAGGGCAAGCCUUUGAGGACUGGAUCAGAAUCAUCUGGGUUUCUUUUUUUUUUUUUUUUUAAUGCAAGUGUGCGCAUUCCCCAAGACCAUCUAGGAAUAUGUGCCCUUCCCACCUUGAGAGUCCUUGCCAAUGGUGGACGCCAUGACUAGCGGGACCCUUUCCUAGCCCUCAGUUGAGCUGGAGCAAAAGAAAGAAAAAACAAAUGACAAAUCAUACGAUGACCCAACACAGCAGUUAGUGCAAGAAUGGUCUCUCAAGGAGAAUUACUUUUGUGGCACAAAAAGGGAACAUGUUUUACUCUUUGCACGAAACUUUCAUUGUUAAUGUAUAUUAUUCAGAAACAUUGUAUUGUACCAUAAAACUUGUAUUAUCAAAACUGUUGGAUGUUCAUGUGUUUGAACUUUCGAGCACCGGAGAUGUUCAUGUGUUUGAACUUUCAAGCACCGGAUAGACUCCUUGUAUAUAAAGUGUUGCACAUGUAUUAUGUCGUCUGAUACUAAAAUGGUCUUAUAAAGACAAGUGGACUUGGGCCCUAUUCAGGCAAGAUUAAAAAAGAAAUGUGAGCAAAAUGGCUUAAGAGAAAGUAUUUUCAAGGAAGACAGAUGAAAACAACUCUGUUACACAUGAGACGAUGUUUGGACUUCCUUUUAUUUACACUUAAGCCUAGAAUUUCUCUUUUGGUAUAUCAACGGUUAAAUCCAAGACUAUUUUUUAUUGCUGAAGAUUCUUGCAAACCAUGAAGAGAUGUUCUUCCAGAACAGAACCCCACAGCUGGAUAAGGCCCAUAUAUAUAUUUGUAAGCCUUGCAGUGUGACAGGUAGCAUCACUAUAUAUGCAAUAGUUGUUAUGUAGACUGUCAAAGAAUUUUUUUUUUCCUGGAUACAUUUGAGGCUUUGAGUGUUCAAGGUUUUCUUUAAUGAUUUCACACAGCCAAAUUCUUGAAUCAGUUGAACUAACCUGUAUGUUACUGUUAUUAAUGUUUACUCUGCGGUCUGAACCUGGAGAUUACUGGAAUUGUUUUCCAAGAGGAAAUAAAUUCAGUUUACCAUUAGG
This is an RNA transcript of Diceros bicornis minor, 5354 nucleotides long. It is a transcript of the gene named zinc finger protein 521, with no coding region annotated. The record is from RefSeq and is a predicted model, not a curated record. The transcript has 10 exons. Lineage: Eukaryota; Metazoa; Chordata; Mammalia; Perissodactyla; Rhinocerotidae.